AAUAAAUUAAGUAACAUCACAAGUAUACAUAUUAUUGUAAUUUAAUUUCUCCAAAUCAAUUUGAGAACUAAUUCUUGGUGAACGCGCUUUUAUAUUAAAGCAUAUUAAUGUGUAGGACUUUUCUGUCAAUACUGUUAUCAUAUUUUCUGUCGAUACAUUAUUAAAAAUUAAACAAUAAAUAAAGCUACAAAUCUAAGGCAG
Molecule: unclassified non-coding RNA, 201 nt
Filed under: Hevea brasiliensis (rubber tree)
Lineage: Eukaryota; Viridiplantae; Streptophyta; Magnoliopsida; Malpighiales; Euphorbiaceae
Source: RNAcentral